GGGCGGAGUUCAUGUUUAACUAUGGCGGAGCACACGGUAGAACAAGGAAAAGAAGAAGAGAAGAAGGUAAAAAGAAGUUAUAUCUUUGAUGGAUGCAACAUACUUAACGUUAUACGCUUAUGCAAAACGGCUCUAAGUAUUUUAACCACAUAAAGAUUCAGAGAGGUUCAGCGCUACCACCUUUGGAGCAAUGCACAACAUGCUGCAGAAAUUUUCACUGCCCUUUUUGUGAUGGUCUUUGAGGCACCCUUUGAUUUCACAGCUGUAAGUCUUUGUUAAAAAUAUAUAUUUUAACUAAAUAAUAUAAUCUAUUAAAUUGAUCUAUUAACACUUUUUUCCCCCCUUAUGCAAGUCUGAUUUCCCUCUUAUUCGAAAAUGGUGAUGCCUUAUUCUGAUGGAGAACUUUGCCAUUGAAAGGAAACAUUGAUGUGCAGGUGCCACCUAAAGCACAAGAAACUGAAAUCGACGACAAGGAACCACAGAUAGUCAAAGACCUCAGGACAGGAGCUGCAUGGCUCCGGGAAAACUGCCACUCGUUCAGAGGUUUUGUGGAUGAGCCUUUUGUGGAUGAGCCGUGGUAUCUUAACCUAAAUAAGGAAGACCAGGAAAAGGCCCUUAAAGGGUAACUAAACACCUGCUCAGAGUCUGACUCCACCCACUAGAAAUAUUUGAAAAUGCUGGAAAAGUGGGCAGACCCCGGCGGGGAUAGAGGGAACGAACCGAGUGCGGGGGGGGGAGACCUGAGACUCGUAGUGACGGAUUAAUUGACAGCUGUUGUCAGACUCUGUGUUAUUAUUAUUCCUCAUACGGUCGCAAGACAACAUGUACAUGAAUCUGGCAUGGUGAGCUGGAACCUGCUUACGUCAGCUGUCACUGCUUACAUCACGAAGUACCGCAAACAGCCAAUAGGAAAAUUCAACUGCAGUAGCCACCGUUCAACCUGAAGAGGGCAGCACUCAGACGUUUUUACACCAUAUAUUGUAGAAUUAAAACACUUUAUACACAAAUGUCAAAAAAAUUACUUGAAUCAAUGACCAGUACUAAUAAAGCCCCAUGCUUACAGAUCAUUAACUAAAAAAAGUUGGUUUAGGGUUUAGUUACCCUUUAAACUUGAUCAGGCAGAAAAGAAAGAUGAUCUGGAACUGGCCAAAGAGCCUUUCAUGUUUCAGUUCCAGUUUAAGGAAGACAUGGAACUUUUUCUUAGCAAGUGUCAUGAUGAAAGGCGCCUCAGGAUUAACUGCAUUUGUAUGGAGUUUUGAUUUAUUUUAAUUAUUUUUCUCUUGAGAAUUAUUGUUAAAUGUGUGCCUGCAUAACUUUUAUAAGAUUUAUAUUCUUUGGUUUAAUUUAGUUUUAUAUAAUUUAUUUAUUAUUUAGUUCAAUUUUGUAUUUUUAUUUAAUUACUAUUAUUUAUUUGGAGCAGGUACAGCUAGUGUGUGAUUCUUUUCAUAUUUCAAAAGAUGAUUUGAGGAAAAAACUAAUUUUAUUUAAAUUAAUCAUUUGUGUUUUUUCAGUCCAUCAUAUAAUUGUUGUGUUCUA
This is a long non-coding RNA of Xyrauchen texanus (razorback sucker), 1536 nucleotides long. RefSeq lists it as uncharacterized. NCBI's taxonomy places the organism in Eukaryota, Metazoa, Chordata, Actinopteri, Cypriniformes, Catostomidae. The transcript is spliced from 4 exons. The record is from RefSeq and is a predicted model, not a curated record.